CCUACGGGGGGCAGCAGUGAGGAAUAUUGGUCAAUGGGCGCGAGCCUGAACCAGCCAAGUAGCGUGAAGGAUGACUGCCCUACGGGUUGUAAACUUCUUUUAUAAAGGAAUAAAGUGAGGCACGCGUGCCUUUUUGUAUGUACUUUAUGAAUAAGGAUCGGCUAACUCCGUGCCAGCAGCCACGGUAAUACGGAGGAUCCGAGCGUUAUCCGGAUUUAUUGGGUUUAAAGGGAGCGUAGAUGGGUUGUUAAGUCAGUUGUGAAAGUUUGCGGCUCAACCGUAAAAGUGCAAUUGAUACUGGCAGCCUUGAGUACGGGUGAGGUAGGCGGAAUUCGUGGUGUAGCGGUGAAAUGCUUAGAUAUCUCGAAGAACUCCGAUUGCGAAGGCAGCUUACUAAACUGCCACUGACAUUGAUGCUCGAAAGUGUGGGUAUCAAACAGGAUUAGAUACCCGGGUAGUC
This 460-nucleotide ribosomal RNA is filed under the name uncultured bacterium. RNAcentral's name for it is "partial 16S ribosomal RNA". It matches the Rfam family "Bacterial small subunit ribosomal RNA", at positions 338 to 795 of the family's 1533-position model. The record is from RNAcentral.